GGGUGGUUAGCUCAGUUGGUUAGAGUACAUGCUUGACAUGCAUGGGGUCGAUGGUUCGAGUCCAUUACUACCCACCA
This 77-nucleotide transfer RNA is filed under the name Saccharofermentanales bacterium. RNAcentral's name for it is "tRNA-Val". It matches the Rfam family "tRNA". From Rfam's summary of the family: Transfer RNA (tRNA) molecules are approximately 80 nucleotides in length. Their secondary structure includes four short double-helical elements and three loops (D, anti-codon, and T loops). The record is from RNAcentral. Lineage: Bacteria; Bacillati; Bacillota; Clostridia; Saccharofermentanales.